Molecule: non-coding RNA, 1455 nt
Organism: Odocoileus virginianus texanus
Lineage: Eukaryota; Metazoa; Chordata; Mammalia; Artiodactyla; Cervidae
Source: RefSeq, a predicted model, not a curated record
ACUCCAGCCCUGCAGAGUCAGAAGGCCAGACUUGGAAAUUGGCAUUUUUAGCAAGCAACCCAAUUAAUGACUAGGUACUUCAAGUUGAAAAACACCCUAAUGGCAGACCACCAAGUCCCUUCUAAUGUCAAAAAUAAAGUAUUCUGAAGGAAAAAUUAUGCAUGCAGAAUAGUGCUCCACUCUGCCCAUCUGAGAGUGAGUGCCCACCUCCACUCCCAAGUUUGGGUUCUCAGAUCCAAGUUAUAUUUCAGCUGAUAUCUUUUUAGGUUUUGUUCUCCUAAUCCCAUGCAUCAAAUUACACUCACUGAAGCUGCCAGUCUUCUAAAGUGCUUUCAGAAGGCACAUAAAUCCAACCCUGAGUCCUCAUGAUCCAGACAUUUAAUCACACCAUAAAGUUAAUGGAAUCCAAUUUGAGUGUAGACACCUCAACAGCUACGUUGCAUUGAAUUCACAGCAUUCAUAAAAUGUGGGUCUCAAAAUGAAUCACCGGCCUGACGGAAAGUUCAGAGAAGAACGCCACCCUCUCAUUGGUCACUGUCCUAAUCUUCAGCUGCCAGGAAAAGGACCAGAGCUGUCAACACAACACUGUAGCCCAGGCAACCAGCCAUGCUGCUAGGAACUUUUCAACACUUAAAAAAAUAAAAGUUACUAUGGAAACUCUCAGAGACUCUUUAGAUUGCUUGGACAGUCCAUGGUUUAUAACAGUCAUAAUGCUUCAUGGCCAGCCAUCACCUAUCAACCCUAGGGCCUCCCAUCAUUCACAACCCAGAAAUGGGUUACUUUUGGGAUGCUCCAGACUUUUGCCUUAGGGCGGUGAAGUGUGUUCCUCCGGUGGCACCUGUACUCUGGGCUAAGAGUAAAUAGAUACUGGGUUUCCAAGAGCCCCCAAAUCCAUUAGUUAAUGAAGUAGUAAUGGUGGUGGCCCUCCAGACAUCCAGAUGUGGUGUCAAUGAUGUUUGACUUCCAGGAGUUUCAUCAUCUGUCAAGUGAGGACAGCCAUCCUCCCUCCAGCUCCUCAGGCACAUCCAGGGCCUCCGGAAGAACAGGGCUGCCACUCUAGGAAGUCUUGCUCACCCCUUCCGUUUUGAAACUCCUGAAUUACAGCCACCUCCUGGAGCCAGAGGGAAAGGCUUUGGAUCAUCUGAAAAGGGUAAGUCCUCUUGCAGGUCUACCCAGCACAUUCUGCUACAUUCCCCAGAAGGAUCUUAAAUAAAGAGGGAGAAACUGAACACAUCACCCACAUCCUAAAGCUAGCAUCUUCAAAGUCUUACACAAGGUUUUAGCUUCAAGUCAAAGGGUCCUUCCUCUGGCCAAUAAAAUUCAAAACACUGAAAUGCCAGUCUGUGCCUCUGCUUUACAAUCCUGUUGAAAUUUUUGGCCUCUAACCAUGUUCUGGAAUCUUCCAUUUCAUCCUAGAUUUUUACUUCUUAGUCUGCCAGUAAGAGUUACUUUACC